AACUCACCCUCUCCCUCUCUCGACUCGCACCUUUCAUCUGGCGCCGGCUUUCCGAGGUCCGGCCCCUGCGCUCGGCCGGUUUACCUGGGGCGGCGCCGUCCGCCGCCAUGACUCGCCAGGUUCCAGUCUCACGGCACUGCACUCUCCCCACCCCCUGCAAAAGGAACGGAACCGCAUCACGAUGCCCCUGACGACCACAGCGCUCGGUGCUGCGCCCUAGGCGAUGGGCAAGGCAGCGAGUUCAGUUUCCUUUCAACACAGUGCAGGAUGGGAUUGUUGUUUAUUUUCAGAGGGGCUGGGGAUACCAGAGUCUUGAGGAUAGCACGGGGACAUCUCAGUUGAAAUCUUAGCACUCUUGGAUGACCCAACGGGAGCACAGAAGAGAACAACGGUGGCUGUGACUCUGAUUCGAACAAAGGUCCUGGGCCACGCUGGUGUAAUUUACAGUGGGGAUGAGUAAAUAACUUUUCAGUUGUCUCCUUCUGCAACCCUCCUACAAGGAUACUUGUGAUUCUACUUAGGGUCCAACAAGAUAAUCUGGAUCACUGUCUCACUCAACCUCAUUAACAACAUCUGCAAAAGCCCUUUUUCCGUGAAAGGAUCCGAGGGGGUCACAUAAAAGUUCAGCUCUGUCAUCAUCUGUCAUCACUGUUAUCAUCAUCCUUAAAUCUAUUUUCAUAGAUGCCCUCCCUCCCUAAAUACCCUGUGAUUGCCUGGACUGCUAUUUUGAUAAGAGACAGAAGAGGAUCAAGGCCUGAGGCAGGAAGACUGUGCAGGAGGCUACUCCGUGAUCCAGGAAGACCCUUCAGGAGGCUACUCCAUGAUCCAGUGCUGUGCUUUUAGAGACCUUGGUGGUCAUCAGCGCAGAGGUGCUGGCCUAGGAGAGAAGAGCCUGGGUUCUUGCUCCAGUUCUUCCAUUGUCCUCCUUGACCUGGAUAACCUAGCCUAUAACAGGGGUAACAAUGGCUGCUCAGAGCUGGUGUGAGACUGAUGCGAGUGUUAGUAGGAUGAUUUGGAUGGCCGUGCUCUGAAAAGUAUGCAGUGCCCUGUACAAGCAAGACAUUCAUUUUACUCAACAACCAUGGGACUGAGGUUAGCAGUUGACGGUUUCUCUGUUUAAGCUUUACAUACAAUUAUUUUGAUCAGGGAUAAGAGUUUUAUUUGCCUCUCAGUCCAGGUGCUUUUUGGAAAGACCACUUCAAAAAUAGUUUCCUAAGAAAUGGAAAGUGGAAUAAGAUUGUUUGCUUGUCCCCCCAGGCAUCCAUACUAUGUUUCUCCAUUGUAGUUUGGAUGGGAAUGACUCUAUCCUCAAUAUCAGCCAGUCAGCACAAUUCUAUCCCUUUUGCCAGCCAGAUUGGCUAAAUUGGGCACAUAAGCCAGGCAAGCUUGAUCUAGCAUUUCACUGACUGCAAUGAAUGGCUCAUAGCUUGGUGGUCCAAAGGUCCUUUUAGAUUUCUAUUUUGAGUCUCUAUUAAAUCUGCUCAUUCUUAUUGUUACAGUUGUUAUUUAGUUGCUAAGUUGUAUGCGACUGUUUUGCAACUCCAUGAACUGUAGCCUGCCAGGCUCCUCUGUCCAUAGGAUUUCCCAGGCAAGAAUACUGGAGUGGGUUGCCAUUUCCUUCUCCAGGGGAUCUUCCUGACCCAGGGAUCAAACCUGAGUCUCUUGCACCUCCUCCAUUGGCAGGUGGAUUCUUUACCGCUGAGAAACUAGGGAAGCCCAUGAUCAUUCUUAUUAUAUCUUAAAAUUGAUUCUAGAAUAGUUUAAGUAUUCAGCUCAGUUCAGUUCAGUCCAGUCACUCAGUCGUGUCCGACUCUUUGCGACCCCAUGAAUUACAGCAUGCCAGGCCUCCCUGUCCAUCACCAACUCCCAGAGUUCACUCAGACUCACUUGAGAAUGAAUUCAAUUAAAAAAAUUUACUUAUAGCUUUCCUGCCUUUCCCAUCCUUGUUCCUCAUAAUAACAAGGUUAAACUGCAUAAAAAUUUCCCCUAAAAUUCAUAUAAAAUUUCUUCUCACACAUUAAUGUAUUUGUUGUUUUUGUGAUCACACUAGCAUAUUUAAACUAAAUAAUCUAGUUAAUUGCUUCCAGUUUCUCUCGAUUUCUGUUUAAUGAUUGCUGUCUUUUUGGCCUAUGACUUUUAAGUCAGUCUAUACAAUAGAAAAAAGAAUUUAACCACAAGAGCUUUUAAGUUUCCCCGGCCCAAUUGUUUUCUCAUUAACUUAGCUUUUUCCUCCCUUUCACCCUUACUCUACCGUAUUUAUAGAUAACGUUUCUAUGAUAGAAUGUCUCCAUCAAGAUUUACUCAUGUUUUAUGAGUAGUUGAAAGAUCUAUUAAAAGCAGCUGAAGGACGUUUAACAUUAGCCUCCAACAUGGAAAUCACUGAUGGUGAACUAUUGCUAACACUGUGUGAAAAUGAGUGAUCAAGGAAGAACAGCAAUCAGGAGAUGGUUGUUAAUGGUAGACCAGGGCUGUCUAGCCAUAAGGCCCCUGUGAAAGCUGAAGUUGAGCCAGCGUUGUAAGAUUUGGGCCCUGGGCCUGGGGUUGCAUCAGGCCACUGAAGAGUUCUGUUCUCUUAUUAAACCACUUCGAGGAUUUGCCUUUUAAAAAUUAUCACAAAGAUUCCAGGUGUGGUCAAGUGUGAAAGUGUUAGUCACUCAGUCAUGUCCGAUUCGUUGCAACCCC
This is a long non-coding RNA of Bubalus bubalis (water buffalo), 2682 nucleotides long. RefSeq lists it as uncharacterized. NCBI's taxonomy places the organism in Eukaryota, Metazoa, Chordata, Mammalia, Artiodactyla, Bovidae. The transcript has 5 exons. The record is from RefSeq and is a predicted model, not a curated record.